AGCAGCCGCGGUAAUUCCAGCUCCAAUAGCGUAUAUUAAAGUUGUUGCAGUUAAAAAGCUCGUAGUUGAAUUUCGGGGUUCUAUCAUUGGUCAAGCUAUUGUUUGUACUGAUGUUUAGAAUUUCUAUUUUUCUGGGGAAUCAUCAUAUUAUUAAUUUAACGUGAUGAGAAACCAGGACCUUUACCUUGAAAAAAUUAGAGUGUUCAAAGCAGGCUUAUGUCUGAAUACAUUAGCAUGGAAUAAUAGAAUAGGACGGUGGUCCUGUUUUGUUGGUUUCU
RNAcentral lists this ribosomal RNA (278 nucleotides) under Glomeromycota sp. RNAcentral describes it as "partial small subunit ribosomal RNA". It matches the Rfam family "Eukaryotic small subunit ribosomal RNA", at positions 569 to 852 of the family's 1831-position model. Lineage: Eukaryota; Fungi; Glomeromycota. The record is from RNAcentral.